GAUGAACGCUAGCGGCAGGCCUAACACAUGCAAGUCGAGGGGUAGCAGGAUUACGCUUGCUUAAUUGCUGACUACAGGCCCACGGGUGCGUAACGCGUAUGCCACCUACCUUAUACUGGGGUAUAGCCGCGAGAAAUUCGGUUUAAUCCCCCAUAGUACUAAUGCAUCGCUACGUUUAUUUGUUAAAGUAUUGCGGUAUAAGAUGGGCAUGUGUCCUAUUAGCUAGAUGGUGAGGUAACGGCUCACCAUGGCUACGAUAGGUAGGGGGCCUGAGAGGGUGGUCCCCCACACUGGUAGUGGGACACGGACCAGACUCCUACGGGAGGCAGCAGUGAGGAAUAUUGGGCAAUGGGCGCAAGCCUGAACCAGCCAUGCCGCGUGCAGGAAGAAUGCCCUAUGGGUUGUAAACUGCUUUUAUUUGGGAAUAAACCUCUUUACGUGUAGAGAGCUGAAGGUACCAAAUGAAUAAGCACCGGCUAACUCCGUGCCAGCCGCCGCCGUAA
This 503-nucleotide ribosomal RNA is filed under the name uncultured bacterium. RNAcentral's name for it is "partial 16S ribosomal RNA". It matches the Rfam family "Bacterial small subunit ribosomal RNA", at positions 28 to 523 of the family's 1533-position model. The record is from RNAcentral.